RNAcentral lists this ribosomal RNA (253 nucleotides) under uncultured bacterium. RNAcentral describes it as "partial 16S ribosomal RNA". It matches the Rfam family "Bacterial small subunit ribosomal RNA", at positions 524 to 776 of the family's 1533-position model. The record is from RNAcentral.
UACGUAGGCAGCAAGCGUUGUUCGGAAUUAUUGGGCGUAAAGAGCUCGUAGGCGGUUUGCCAAGUUUGGUGUGAAAUCUCCCGGCUUAACUGGGAGGGUGCGCCGAAUACUAGCAGGCUAGAGUACGGGAGAGGAAAGCGGAAUUCCUGGUGUAGCGGUGAAAUGCGUAGAUAUCAGGAGGAACACCUGCGGUGUAGACGGCUUUCUGGACCGAAACUGACGCUGAGGAGCGAAAGCGUGGGUAGCAAACAGG